Poecile atricapillus (Black-capped chickadee) is the source of this 2068-nucleotide RNA transcript. It is a transcript of the gene named methionine sulfoxide reductase B2, with no coding region annotated. The record is from RefSeq and is a predicted model, not a curated record. NCBI's taxonomy places the organism in Eukaryota, Metazoa, Chordata, Aves, Passeriformes, Paridae. The transcript has 8 exons.
ACCCUCAGCUGGCACAGCCCCUUCUCCAUUCCUCGAUCAACAGCGCUGAGAGCAAUGCCUGUAAUGCGCGUCUAGGACAGCAAGAGCGCUUUUACAUGCAAAUACCAGACCCGUUCUCCUUAAAAACAGCCUGGAAUGGCUGUAAGCAAAUAUCUCAACAGGACUUUGUUAUAUUUACGGCUGCAGUGAGUGCUCAUUUUUAAGCUGGUCUCUUUGCCUCUCGGUCUGAUUCUUUAGGUGGAACGGAGGGAUUACACAAGGCCGGCGUCUUUCCCGGGCCCGCCCUGCCGCAAUGGCGGCCCGUCCGCUCGGGAGGAUGCUCGGGAGCUGCCGCCUGCUCCCCCUGCUCCGCUCCCCGCUGCCGAGCGCCGGCUGCGCCCGCGCUGCGCACAGAGGCACAGACCCUGGCCCCCUCACUAAACAAGCUAAAGCAGCUGCUGCUACAGACUGGAAAAAAAAAUUGACUCCGGAGCAAUUCUAUGUUACACGAGAAAAAGGAACUGAACCGCCUUUCAGUGGGAUUUAUCUGAAUAACACAGAAUCAGGAAUAUACUGCUGCGUGUGCUGCAAUGCCCCCCUCUUCAGCUCAGAGAAGAAGUACAAUUCUGGGACUGGAUGGCCAUCUUUUUCUGAGGCUUAUGGUACUUGUGAUGGAGAUGAAAGUAAUACCAAUAUCCUGAGACGACCAGAUAACUCACUGGGGCUAACUAGAACUGAAGUCAUCUGCAAACAGUGUGAUGCCCAUCUAGGCCAUGUGUUUGAUGAUGGACCCAAACCUUCUGGGCAGAGAGAUCCCAGGUCUCACUGACACCUUUUAUUAAUGAAAGUGCCAUACAAACAAAACAGACCAUGAGGCUGACAAAACAAGUAUCCACACAGACCUCUGUGCAAACCACACACAGUUUAGUAGCUUGGAUGGAUAGACAUGGUUGGUGGAGAUCAGGCCUUAGUAAACUGAACAGGAAAAGAAGAGAGAGUAUUGUCUGUGAAAAUACAAGAUUUUUGCCACCCCUAAACACCUCCAGCAUGAGGUGGCUCAGGAGAUGGCCUGCUUGAGAAGAAACUGGAAGUCUCAGCUUGAGUUUUUCUUCUUUUCUGAGCAUUUAGAUAAUACUCCUAAGCAUGUUCGUGUUUUCUGGUUGUAAACCUUGGCCCAAAUGUGUAGAAGAAAUAAGUCCUGUCACCACAUGACUCUACUGCCUCCUCUUUCACUUUAUGAUGUUUUGCACUGGGCAGCGAAGUGUUUUAAACUAUACUCGGGUGCCUGCCCCACCUCCUGCCAUACCCGAGUGAUGAGCUGAUGGUAACACUAUGCUCACAGCAUGUCGUGUACUGCUCAGCACCCGUCACCCUCAUGGAUUUCACAGCUCUUCACACACAAAUGAUGCCUCGCCCCAGCCCUUUGAGGUAGUGGUGAGCCACAGUCACAGAGCUGGAAGCUGAGGGACAGCUGCGGGAAGUGACUCGCCCACAGUCCCCUGGGGCAGGGCAGGGAAAUCUGAUUACAGAAAGGGUUCUCAAAAGCUCUGCAAGUGUGAGCUGCUGCCAAAAUUCACAAAGGCAAAGCAGUUUAAAAGCAAAGCGCUUUAUUGAAGAAGUGCCCAGAUUUUUUCAAGACUAAAAGAAUUUGUCUCAAGGCAGGUGUGUCCAUGGGGACUGGUUUUAGUAGCACUGAGGAAUUUGUGUGGAAGAGAUUGGCAGCUUGCCACAGGGCAGAAGAAAGAGAAAUGCAUGCCCAUUAUUGCACUCCCUUUUACUCUCUUCUCUUUUGUUGUGGUGGGGUUUUUUUGUGUGGUUUUUUUUUUACUGCUCUGUGGUAUCCUUCCUCGCUCCUCCUCCCUGGGCUUUGGCUUUGACUAUUCUCACCCUUACCUUGUGCCCGAACCCUCCUAGCUCCAUACUCAGUUCUCUCUUCUUGGUGCCCGAGAGGGGAGCAAGCACACGGUCCUGCAGCCACCUCCGAGUCAGCAUCUCCCUGCCUGUGCGGGAGGGGACUGCGGGAUCCGGCCGGCAGCUCCGGGGCUGCAUCCCCUGCGGGCUCCGGGGUUUGAUUCCCUGCAGGCUCCGG